UAAAAUGUGUAGGGGUUUCACUAUACUAAAAUUGAAAUGAUAUGAAGAAGAUUAGCAUGCCCUCUGCAAAAGUGGCAUGCAAAUUUGUGAAGCAUUCCAUAUUUUA
This 106-nucleotide small nuclear RNA is filed under the name Cercocebus atys (sooty mangabey). The record is from RNAcentral. Lineage: Eukaryota; Metazoa; Chordata; Mammalia; Primates; Cercopithecidae.